This 500-nucleotide ribosomal RNA is filed under the name uncultured Glomeromycotina. RNAcentral's name for it is "partial small subunit ribosomal RNA". It matches the Rfam family "Eukaryotic small subunit ribosomal RNA", at positions 591 to 1092 of the family's 1831-position model. The record is from RNAcentral. Lineage: Eukaryota; Fungi; Glomeromycota.
CCAAUAGCGUAUAUUAAAGUUGUUGCAGUUAAAAAGCUCGUAGUUGAAUUUCGGGAUCAAUGGGUUGGUCAUGCCCUCGGUAUGUACUGAUUUCAUUGGUUCUCACCUUCUAAGGAACCAUGAUGUCAUUCGUUUGAUGUUGUGGGGAAUUAGGACUGUUACCUUGAAAAAAUUAGAGUGUUUAAAGCAGGCUAACGCUUGAAUCCAUUAGCAUGGAAUAAUGAAAUAGGACAUCCGAUUCUAUUUUGUUGGUUUCUAGGAUCGAUGUAAUGAUUAAUAGGGAUAGUUGGGGGCAUUAGUAUUCAAUUGUCAGAGGUGAAAUUCUUGGAUUUAUUGAAGACUAACUACUGCGAAAGCAUUUGCCAAGGAUGUUUUCAUUAAUCAAGAACGAAAGUUAGGGGAUCGAAGACGAUCAGAUACCGUCGUAGUCUUAACCAUAAACUAUGCCGACUAGGGAUCGGAUGAUGCUUAUUUUUUAAUGACUCAUUCGGCACCUUACG